AUGUACAUUCCUACAACAUAAUGUUAACGCAUCAGAUCCCAUUAGAACUUCGCAGUUAAGCACACUUAGGCUAGAGUAGUACUGGGAUCGGUGAUCAUCUAGGAAGUCCUAGUGUUUUACAUG
Molecule: non-coding RNA, 123 nt
Organism: Picea glauca (white spruce)
Lineage: Eukaryota; Viridiplantae; Streptophyta; Pinopsida; Pinales; Pinaceae
Source: Rfam